GGCAGGACGGAAAGACCCCGGGACCUUUACUACAGUUUUGAUAUUGGGUGUUCGGUUCGGCUUGUGUACGGAUAGCUGGGAGACUGUGAAGCGCUAACGCCAGUUAGUGUGGAGUCGUCGUUGAAAUACCAGUCUGGUCGUGCUGGAUGUCUAACCUGGGUCCGUGAUCCGGAUCAGGGACAGUGUCUGAUGGGUAGUUUAACUGGGGCGGUUGCCUCCUAAAGAGUAACGGAGGCGCCCAAAGGUUCCUCAGCCUGGUUGGCAAUCAGGUGUUGAGUGUAAGUGCACAAGGGAGCUUGACUGUGAGACCGACGGGUCGAGCAGGGCGAAAGUCGGGACUAGUGAUCCGGCGGUGGCUUGUGGAA
This 365-nucleotide non-coding RNA is filed under the name Streptomyces afghaniensis 772. RNAcentral describes it as "Bacterial large subunit ribosomal RNA". It matches the Rfam family "Bacterial large subunit ribosomal RNA", at positions 2074 to 2438 of the family's 2925-position model. Lineage: Bacteria; Bacillati; Actinomycetota; Actinomycetes; Kitasatosporales; Streptomycetaceae. The record is from Rfam by way of RNAcentral.